GCUUCAUGGAUACCAAGUCCUUGGACAGCUUUCUAAGAAGUAGAAUUCUGCUUCAAGUUCCCUUGGACAGAAGUAGGAUUUCCUCAUCCUAAGUAUAUCCAUGCUAUGACAUUCUUUCAAGCAUCCAAAACAAAUAUUCUACAUUGGAUUAAAACAUAACAUUUAAUGGUUCAUGCAUAGAAAUAACCUUCAGGUUAUUUUCUUUCAGCAAAGAAAAGCAGCCAGUUUAGUUAUGUCCAUCCUGUGCUGAUUUUUAUGACAUUCACUGCAGUUCUUGAACAAAAAUGUGAUUUCCACCAAGUCUUUAACUGAUCAUGAAAUAGUUUGAUAACCUUCAUCCAGACUACCCUAUGCUUCUUACAAACCCGUAUUUCUGCAGCCACAUAAGAACUGAAAAUGACAUUGAGAGCUCCUGACUCCAGUCCCUGUGGUGCAAGACACUGUAUCUUAUGGCCCUUUCAAAGUGCACUGAUGCACUGCAGGUACGUGUUCACUGGAAAAGAUUGUUACAGGCAUACAAGUGACAAAUCUGAAUCAAUCUCUUGUCCCCUUGGCAAAUUAAAGGAGGCAGAGACACCUUUGAGAAGCUGUGGCCAGCACUUCCAAAGGACCAGCAGCAUUGUACUCCUGCAUAUUUCCAAUAUUUCAACCUUUACAAUGUGUUAUGUAACGGAAGUGCUGCAGAAAGAAGAGCAGCAGAAACCCUCCUCUGCUCCAAGGUACUGUGAGGUAUAAACAGCCUACUGACAGCCUAACAGCAAGGAUUUCAUAAAUCACAGCAAUCUCUCAAACUGUGAUUUACACCUAUGGGCCACAGAGCCCUAAGCUUCACCUAAAUGCACAAAGCAGCAAAGGAAAACUCGAGGUCACUUUGUCCUUACUCUCCAAGCUACACUUACUGCAAGUUUCCUCCUGAGACUUACAGCAGAGAAUCUGGCACAUCACCAUCAUGUAAGCAUUUCAAUUAACCUAGAUUCACAGCUUCACUUCUGUGUUCCCAAUGCAUCCAAAAAACUAUGAAACUACCUUAUGAACAAAAGCAAUGUUAUUUAGCUGGGGAGAGUUAUGUAAGCAAUUAAGAGCCAGGCAGAGACCAAGUCCUGCAUUAUCAGACACACCCAGACAUUACACAGCCACUUUUGAUUCACACCUCCUUUUCUUGAUUCUUUGGUAUUUGUGCUUAAGAUACUGACUUUAACACAGCAACAGACAGUACCAACUAAUAAUUCUGUAUUUAUCAGCUAUAUAUGCUGUUUGAAAAAAUGGGAAGCAGCUACCUGGAGCACCUUCAGAGACAAAGGUACAUGCCUUUCCAAGCAGAACAGUACAUAUAGGCCUUUACCUACAAAGCUUACCAGAUGAAGACAUUUUCUUUAGCAUUUGCUUGAUUACUUUGGUUUGCAUUUAAUUAUACAGAUGGCUGAGUGGUUUUGUAAUUUUAUAGCUGGACUGUGCUAGUAAUUGAUGUGGUAGUGUCAGUCUUACUGAGGCUGGUUUGGAAAUGCAUGGGGUUUGAAAAGCUGUAUUUAAAGCCUCUUGUUACAAUGCAAGAGAUGAAUUAAAUGAAAGAAUGUUAAACAAUGUUGGGGGUUUUUUUCUGUGGACUUUACAUAACUGUACUAUUUGUCCCAAGACAACACUGGAAUCAGUAUAUCAACAAUGAAGAUUGCGGCUGACUUUGCAAGUCCUUCAAAAAUGUAACUCCUGUACACACAAGUUGUGUACCUGUCUUCCUGUCUGUUUUCACUAACCUAAAAUGAAGAAGUUUAUUUUUAAUCCAGAAAAAAUAAUUUAUUAACCCUUAGGCUGACUGAACACUAGCAUGUGAGAACGGAAAGAUAAAACAAACAAAACUGACAAUAAACUUAUAUUCCUUUUCACCCCUAGUUCGUAUUUAUGAAUAUAAAAGUAAAGAAACCCCUGUACUAAUGACAUAAAUCUACAUUAUUUUCUGGAGGUAGA
This is a long non-coding RNA of Geospiza fortis (medium ground-finch), 1962 nucleotides long. Lineage: Eukaryota; Metazoa; Chordata; Aves; Passeriformes; Thraupidae. The record is from Ensembl.